UGGCCGAGUGCCACCUCCAGGAAGAACACAGGCAGACCUCCACCGAACAGGAAAAUGAAGUAAGGGAUGAGAAAAGCACCUAGAUGGAACCCAAGAGAAGAAUCACAUCUUUCAGUUUUGGGACGGUUCACAUUACCAACAUACUCCGAAACCACAGAUGCACUUUAUGCAAAAGGAAUCCAGAGAGGUGUUGAAUAGAGCGCAACAGUGCCCAUCCACUUUUUCAGCCAUCUUGAUGGUGUACAGUAGUUGUGAUAUCUUCCAGCUGGGGCAGACGGGACCAUGCUAACCAGCCAAACCUUGAUUCCUUGGUCCAAACUCACCAACAGCAACUCCUCAAUUCGGCUGUCAGACUCUUAUUUUGACGCAAUGGAAGCGAGAGGAGCGUCAAACUUUGUGAGGAAUGGCAGGCAUGCUCUCCACAUAGCAGCAGUGCCAAGUGCUUCAAGUGCUUUUAUCCACAUGAUUCAAAACUGGAGGAAAGCCAGAGCAGAGACACAAGUGAUUCCUUAAUGAUCAUCAAUGGCGAGUGGGAGAGAUACCAUAACUUCUACACAUUUUCCAAUGGAAAUGGUCCAAAAUCCAUGGCAGAUCCACUGCUGAGUGAAACAGAGAAAAUGCACUAAGCUGAGCAUGCAUUUGAAGUGUCCCAAUAAAACUUUCCGAGAAACAGCAACUCUCUCCAGAGUUCAAUCCUCCAGGACAAUAUGCUACCUAGAAGAACAAGGUGACUAGGGAGGAUUUCAGUAUAAACAAGUUGGGAAAUCCAAACAGUGAGAGCCAUACUGCUUCGAAUGUGGGACAAGUGAGCAUUGACUGCUUUUGUUGGCACAAAUCCUCACUUGACACAGAAAGUGAAGCCAGGACCCGCUCUGAACAUUCUGCUGCAGACUGACAGACAGUAGCAAACACUUUCCAUUAUCUUACACCUGUUGAGGAAAAAUCAUUUUAAAGGACUCAAAUGAUACCAGAGUAUGGGCCUGUCAAGUUUUGUACACUUCCAUUUGAAGCAGAGGGGGUUGCCACAGAGCUACGAAACACUGCGUGAGCCAUGCAACACAACAAUAUGUCACAAAACAAAAGAAUCCCAUUGGAAAUUCCCCAAAUGUGGCCUUAAAGCCACAUACCAGAUUCAUUUAACAUGCGAAGUCCCAGUUAAAAACAAGCCAGUGCUGCAGUUAACAUGUCAGUGGCACUCUUGGAUAAAUCAAGACAACUCCGAGGCACGCAAACUGUCUGCGGCUUGUUGUGUUCUUCAUGCACAAUGCAAACCGAACCACUUGUAAACAAUCACAUGCAUCAGCCUACACCCAGUGAAAUGCUUUUUAUGUGGCUUGGACAAGGGCUGCUUUCAGGACACUGGUUUAUAUCGUAACCAAGAAGAAAGCUCGCUGGUAGGUGACAGAUUUAUUCUAAUAUUGACUCACAAGCUGGCGAACAGUCUCUUGGAGUGAAGGCAAAUAACGGAAUUUCACACUUGUGUCACUGUAGAUUCAUCACAAAUUGGUCAAUAACUACAUGUAUGGCCUGUAUGGGCCUUUGCAUUCUAAUAUAAAACCACAAGUUUAAAAUGCCACAGUUUGUAAGUUAUAUUUCUAAGCAUUCUGACCUGAGUCAAGACACAACUGGGAUGGCUGUACUGUGCUGAGUAAACUUUGAGUGCUACAAGAAUAAUAUGUUCAGCACUGGAUCACAGGCAAUAUUAGAGGAAGAUUCUGUUAUUGUUCACAAUCAGGUACAGUACUGCAAAACAUGAGUCAGUCAAUGGAUGUUUUUUUAAGACCGCAGCACUGAGAUAUUAAACAGGCUGUUUGUUCCACUGUUGGAAAAUAACUGGUGUCAGUGUUGAAGAAAUGAGUCAGACACUAUGAGAUUGAAAACACAUGUUAAAAGCACAUAUGUUGCAAACACACAAAACACACA
This is a long non-coding RNA of Myxocyprinus asiaticus (Chinese sucker), 1923 nucleotides long. RefSeq lists it as uncharacterized. Lineage: Eukaryota; Metazoa; Chordata; Actinopteri; Cypriniformes; Catostomidae. The record is from RefSeq and is a predicted model, not a curated record. The transcript has 6 exons.